Molecule: ribosomal RNA, 459 nt
Filed under: Triticum aestivum (bread wheat)
Lineage: Eukaryota; Viridiplantae; Streptophyta; Magnoliopsida; Poales; Poaceae
Description: partial small subunit ribosomal RNA
Source: RNAcentral
AUGAUCAUGAACUGUCGCUUCCCUGAUCAGAAAAUGGCUGUUGGAAAGCUUGAAUAUAAAAAAAUUAUUGAAGAGAGACUGAAAAUAGAUUGCCUGUAUAAUACAACUGUAAUGGAGGUAAUGUGGGGCGUACAGCAUUGCAUGCGAAGUUUGGUGCCUGAGGAGAAAUCACAGCUGGCUGAAGCUGACCGUCUCCCGCUGAGUCUAGGACUACAAUAUGUACUGAGUCAUUAUGGCUGUGAUGUCGAAUCAGAUAUGGUCAGUGAGCAAAUCGUUGCCACGGCUUCUGCCUUGUUUCAGUGUGAUUCUGUUGAGAAGAAGUAUUCUAGAGCCUUGCGCAAUGCAGGUGAUCUCAUUAAGGAUGUAUCUGGCAUCAACUGUGAGGGUUGGACGUUACUAAAAAUUGCAAAAGCUCUGAAGAUGAUAUGGUGGCCUGAAUUUGGCGAUUCCUCUGAGUGA